AGGACGCCCGGCUAAGUGCCCGCCAGUAUACAAAACUCAAGAAUUCAUUUUGUGAAGUCCUGAUAUAUCAUUUAAUUGAUUAAAACUUUCAACAACGGAUCUCUUGGUUCUGGCAUCGAUGAAGAACGCAGCGAAAUGCGAUAAGUAAUGUGAAUUGCAGAAUUCAGUGAAUCAUCGAAUCUUUGAACGCACAUUGCGCCCUCUGGUAUUCUGGAGGGCAUGCCUGUUCGAGCGUCAUUUCAACCCUCAAGCUCUGCUUGGUAUUGGGCAACGUCCGCUGCCGGACGUGCCUUGAAGACCUCGGCGACGGCGUCCUAGCCUCGAGCGUAGUAGUAAAAUAUCUCGCUUUGGAGUGCUGGGCGACGGCCGCCGGACAAUCGACCUUCGGUCUAUAUUUCCAAGGGUUGACCUCGGAUCAGGUAGGGAUACCCGCUGAACUUAAGCAUA
This 447-nucleotide ribosomal RNA is filed under the name Phyllosticta capitalensis. RNAcentral describes it as "eukaryotic LSU rRNA". The stretch from base 84 to 237 matches the Rfam family "5.8S ribosomal RNA". The record is from RNAcentral. Lineage: Eukaryota; Fungi; Ascomycota; Dothideomycetes; Botryosphaeriales; Phyllostictaceae.